AGUGAACGCUGGCGGUAGGCCUAACACAUGCAAGUCGAACGGCAGCACAGUAAGAGCUUGCUCUUACGGGUGGCGAGUGGCGGACGGGUGAGGAAUACAUCGGAAUCUACUUUUUCGUGGGGGAUAACGUAGGGAAACUUACGCUAAUACCGCAUACGACCUACGGGUGAAAGCAGGGGAUCUUCGGACCUUGCGCGAUUGAAUGAGCCGAUGUCGGAUUAGCUAGUUGGCGGGGUAAAGGCCCACCAAGGCGACGAUCCGUAGCUGGUCUGAGAGGAUGAUCAGCCACACUGGAACUGAGACACGGUCCAGACUCCUACAGGAGGCAGCAGUGGGGAAUAUUGGACAAUGGGCGCAAGCCUGAUCCAGCCAUACCGCGUGGGUGAAGAAGGCCUUCGGGUUGUAAAGCCCUUUUGUUGGGAAAGAAAAGCAGCAGGUUAAUACCCCGCUGUUCUGACGGUACCCAAAGAAUAAGCACCGGCUAACUUCAUG
Molecule: ribosomal RNA, 492 nt
Filed under: uncultured bacterium
Lineage: Bacteria
Description: partial 16S ribosomal RNA
Rfam family: Bacterial small subunit ribosomal RNA
Source: RNAcentral